Molecule: ribosomal RNA, 1223 nt
Filed under: fungal endophyte
Lineage: Eukaryota; Fungi
Also listed under: 1 other name
Description: eukaryotic LSU rRNA
Rfam family: Eukaryotic large subunit ribosomal RNA
Source: RNAcentral
AACAGCUCAAAUUUGAAAUCUGGCCUCGGCCCGAGUUGUAAUUUGCAGAGGAUGCUUCUGGCGCGGUGCCUUCCGAGUUCCCUGGAACGGGACGCCACAGAGGGUGAGAGCCCCGUAUGGUCGGACACCAAGCCUGUGUGAAGCUCCUUCGACGAGUCGAGUAGUUUGGGAAUGCUGCUCUAAAUGGGAGGUAAAUCUCUUCUAAAGCUAAAUACCGGCCAGAGACCGAUAGCGCACAAGUAGAGUGAUCGAAAGAUGAAAAGCACCUUGAAAAGGGGGUUAAAUAGUACGUGAAAUUGUUGAAAGGGAAGCACUUAUGACCAGACUUGGGCCGGGCGGCUCAUCAGGGGUUCUCCCCUGUGCACUCCGCCCGGCACAGGCCAGCAUCGGUUUUCGCGGGGGGAUAAGACCGUCGGGAACGUAGCACCCUCCGGGGUGUGUUAUAGCCUGGCGGACGAUACCCUCGCGGGGACCGAGGUUCGCGCUCCGCAAGGAUGCUGGCGUAAUGGUCAUCAGUGACCCGUCUUGAAACACGGACCAAGGAGUCGUCCAUUAGAGCGAGCGUUUGGGUGUAAAAACCCGCACGCGUAAUGAAAGUGAACGCAGGUGAGAGCUUCGGCGCAUCAUCGACCGAUCCUGAUGUUCUCGGAAGGAUUUGAGUAAGAGUUUUAACGGACGGACCCGAAAGACAGUGAACUAUGCUUGUAUAGGGUGAAGCCAGAGGAAACUCUGGUGGAGGCUCGCAGCGGUUCUGACGUGCAAAUCGAUCGUCAAAUAUGAGCAUGGGGGCGAAAGACUAAUCGAACUGUCUAGUAGCUGGUUACCGCCGAAGUUUCCCUCAGGAUAGCAGUGUUGAUCUUCAGUUUUAUGAGGUAAAGCGAAUGAUUAGGGACUCGGGGGCGCUAUAUUGCCUUCAUCCAUUCUCAAACUUUAAAUAUGUAAGAAGCCCUUGUUACUUAGUUGAACGUGGGCAUUCGAAUGUACCAACACUAGUGGGCCAUUUUUGGUAAGCAGAACUGGCGAUGCGGGAUGAACCGAACGCGGGGUUAAGGCGCCAGAGUGUACGCUCAUCAGACACCACAAAAGGCGUUAGUACAUCUUGACAGCAGGACGGUGGCCAUGGAAGUCGGAAUCCGCUAAGGACUGUGUAACAACUCACCUGCCGAAUGUACUAGCCCUGAAAAUGGAUGGCGCUCAAGCGUACCGCCCAUACCCCGCCCCCA